GUCGAACGAUGAACCUCCUUCGGGAGGGGAUUAGUGGCGAACGGGUGAGUAACACGUGGGCAAUCUGCCCUGCACUCUGGGACAAGCCCUGGAAACGGGGUCUAAUACCGGAUACGAGUUUCACCGGCAUCGGUGAUUCUGGAAAGCUCCGGCGGUGCAGGAUGAGCCCGCGGCCUAUCAGCUUGUUGGUGAGGUAAUGGCUCACCAAGGCGACGACGGGUAGCCGGCCUGAGAGGGCGACCGGCCACACUGGGACUGAGACACGGCCCA
RNAcentral lists this ribosomal RNA (270 nucleotides) under Streptomyces roietensis. RNAcentral describes it as "partial 16S ribosomal RNA". It matches the Rfam family "Bacterial small subunit ribosomal RNA", at positions 61 to 333 of the family's 1533-position model. Lineage: Bacteria; Bacillati; Actinomycetota; Actinomycetes; Kitasatosporales; Streptomycetaceae. The record is from RNAcentral.